GACGAACGCUGGCGGCGUGCUUAACACAUGCAAGUCGUACGGUAAGGCCCUUUCGGGGGUACACGAGUGGCGAACGGGUGCGUAACACGUGAGUAACCUGCCCACAACUUUGGGAUAACGCUAGGAAACUGGUGCUAAUACUGGAUAUGUGCUCCUGCUGCAUGGUGGGGGUUGGAAAGCUCCGGCGGUUGUGGAUGGACUCGCGGCCUAUCAGCUUGUUGGUGGGGUAGUGGCCCACCAAGGCGGCGACGGGUAGCCGGCCUGAGAGGGUGACCGGCCACAUUGGGACUGAGAUACGGCCCAGACUCCUACGGGAGGCAGCAGUGGGGAAUAUUGCACAAUGGGCGCAAGCCUGAUGCAGCAACGCCGCGUGCGGGAUGACGGCCUUCGGGUUGUAAACCGCUUUCAGCAGGGACGAAGCUUUUUGUGACGGUACCUGCAGAAGAAGCACCGGCUAACUACGUG
RNAcentral lists this ribosomal RNA (465 nucleotides) under uncultured bacterium. RNAcentral describes it as "partial 16S ribosomal RNA". It matches the Rfam family "Bacterial small subunit ribosomal RNA", at positions 28 to 507 of the family's 1533-position model. The record is from RNAcentral.